UAGGGAAUCUUCCACAAUGGACGCAAGUCUGAUGGAGCAACGCCGCGUGAGUGAAGAAGGGUUUCGGCUCGUAAAGCUCUGUUGUUAAAGAAGAACAUAUCUGAGAGUAACUGUUCAGGUAUUGACGGUAUUUAACCAGAAAGCCACGGCUAGCUACGUGCCAG
This 164-nucleotide ribosomal RNA is filed under the name uncultured bacterium. RNAcentral describes it as "partial 16S ribosomal RNA". It matches the Rfam family "Bacterial small subunit ribosomal RNA", at positions 355 to 511 of the family's 1533-position model. The record is from RNAcentral.